UAAGGAAUAUUGGUCAAUGGACGCAAGCCUGAACCAGCCAUGCCGCGUGGAGGAUGAAGGUCCUCUGGAUUGUAAACUUCUUUUAUCUGGGAAGAAAUCCAUUUUUUCUAAGAUGGUUGACGGUACCAGACGAAUAAGCACCGGCUAACUCCGUGCCAGCAGCCGCGGUAAUACGGAGGGUGCAAGCGUUAUCCGGAUUCACUGGGUUUAAAGGUGCGUAGGUGGGCAGUUAAGUCAGUGGUGAAAUCUCCGGGCUUAACCCGGAAACUGCCAUUGAUACUAUCUGUCUUGAAUGCCGUGGAGGUAAGCGGAAUAUGUCAUGUAGCGGUGAAAUGCUUAGAUAUGACAUAGAACACCAAUUGCGAAGGCAGCUUACUACACGAAUAUUGACACUGAGGCACGAAAGACGUGGGGAGUCAAACAGGAUUAGAUACCCUGUAGUCCACGCCCUAACGAUGGAUACUCGACAUACGCGAUACACAGUG
This 485-nucleotide ribosomal RNA is filed under the name uncultured Bacteroidota bacterium. RNAcentral describes it as "bacterial SSU rRNA". It matches the Rfam family "Bacterial small subunit ribosomal RNA", at positions 355 to 838 of the family's 1533-position model. Lineage: Bacteria; Pseudomonadati; Bacteroidota. The record is from RNAcentral.